AACAAGCUCAAGAUAGCCCCCAGGAGGAACUCCACUGUAGCUUGAAACAAGAGGCUGGGCUUGCAUCGUCAGAAAAACCAAUUUCUUCACAGAAAUAGGUGAAGGUGAUCAACACAGCAACAUCAUUUUGAGGGGAAUUCAGAGGAUUAGGCUUCUGGAAAUGUAAAUCAGAAAUGAGAAGGCAAGGACUGACCAGUAUUGAUUAUGCAAGCCACUCCAGGAGCCAUUUUAACUGACAAGUCAACUUGAUGUGAGAUGCGGAGACAGCUCUGAAAUCUGCCAAAGAACCACCCAACCAAAUCCCAGAAACUAGGAUGCCAACAAAAGCCUUGUGUGUUGAUAGCAGAGAAGGGAGGAUGGGAGGAGGAACAAGGAAAGUUGAGAUAUAAAAAGGACUUCACUCUUCACUUUGAAAACUGUGAAAAGACAGGCAGAGCAGGGGAGGCAAAUAAAGGGGAGAUUUAUUUUUCACUUUAUCAAGUCUUGGUUGCCUUACGAAUGUUGUUAUGUUGUAG
Long non-coding RNA from Sceloporus undulatus (fence lizard), 515 nucleotides. RefSeq lists it as uncharacterized. Lineage: Eukaryota; Metazoa; Chordata; Lepidosauria; Squamata; Phrynosomatidae. The record is from RefSeq and is a predicted model, not a curated record. The transcript has 4 exons.